AGGACUUGUAGAGGUACUACUGAGGCUGCAUCAUCUUGACUUAAUAUAUAUUGUCUCACAGCCUCAGCGAGGAGACAUAGAGCGAUAAGGUUAGCCCCUCAAGAGGACCAACCUAGCAUAGUCCCCCAAACCACUCUGAGGAUACUGCAGAGGUUUAGCAUGUAGCUGCUACUCAUGAUACUAAUGUUGAGAUAGAUGCUGAGCCUACUAAGCCAUCUCGA
Molecule: long non-coding RNA, 221 nt
Filed under: Prunus persica (peach)
Lineage: Eukaryota; Viridiplantae; Streptophyta; Magnoliopsida; Rosales; Rosaceae
Description: long non-coding RNA (PPER_LNC008153)
Source: RNAcentral